Molecule: long non-coding RNA, 587 nt
Filed under: Homo sapiens (human)
Lineage: Eukaryota; Metazoa; Chordata; Mammalia; Primates; Hominidae
Source: RNAcentral
CUUCAAGCUCUGAGGGAAAGGGCCCUCCUUCCUAAAUUUUCCUGUCCUCUUUCAGCUCCUGAUCCGUUGCAGUCACUCUAGUCAAUGACAUGAAUUUUAGCUUUUGUGGGGGACUGUAAGUUGGGCUUGCUAUUCUGUCCCUAGGUGUUUUGUUCACCAUUAUAAUGAAUUUAGUGAGCAUAGGUGAUCCAUGUAACUGCCUAGAAACAACACUGUAGUAAAUAAUGCUUUGAAAUUGAACCUUUGUGCCCUAUCACCCAAUGCUCCAAAGUCAUAAUUGCAUUGACUUUCCCACCAGAUGCUGAAAAUGUCCUUGUAAUACGCACGUAAAGUACUUGUAGUUCCACUUAUAGCCUCUGUCUGGCAAUGCCACAGCCCUGUCAGCAUGAAUUUGUAAUGUCUUGAGCUCUAUUAUGAAUGUGAAGCCUUCCCCUUAUCCUCCCUGUAACUUGAUCCAUUUCUAAUUAUGUAGCUCUUUGUCAGGGAGUGUUCCCUAUCCAAUCAAUCUUGCAUGUAACGCAAGUUCCCAGUUGGAGCUGCAGCCUAACAUCAAAAAAGGCAGUUACCAUUAAACCAUCUCCCUGGUG